RNAcentral lists this long non-coding RNA (785 nucleotides) under Oreochromis niloticus (Nile tilapia). RNAcentral's name for it is "lncRNA (ENSONIG00000042432.1)". Lineage: Eukaryota; Metazoa; Chordata; Actinopteri; Cichliformes; Cichlidae. The record is from RNAcentral.
GGAAGUGAUAUCGAUUCUUUAAAUCCCGAAUUGACUGAAUAUAAAUGUAUUUUACCAGAAAUGCCAGAAUCUCAGGUUAAAGCUCACAAAACUAUUUCAACAACCAGCAAAUGAGAGCAGGAAACGCAUUCCACACAAACAGGUAAACACAGAGCGGACCGACGCAUCAGAAUUAGCUUAGUCACGUCGGGACUGAAAGCCAUUAAUUCCCUCUUACUUUUGCUGUUUUUCUUCCAACACGAUAAAAACCACAGUUCAUGCACAGCUCUCACUGUACUUCAAGAACAGUUUCCCAUCUCAAACAUCUGUUUUCCGCAUUAAUCAUUCGCUUAUUACCCAUCAGCAAUGUUCCCUCUAAGCUGCGUACUCAAAGACCGCUAAGGGUUAGGGGGGUUAGGGUUAGGGGUUAGGGUUAGGGGGUAAUAGCCAGUAGUUGACCAGACCAAAUGGAAAUAACUCGAAAAGUAAGUGUCGUAGAGGGAUGGAAGUGGUGUCUAGGGGGGGGUUUUGGGGUCCUCCGGACUCGCUGGUGAAGACCCCAUGUCGAUAGCAGCAACGGUUGCGGAGUUGUGGCAAAUCGGUCCAAAAUUGACCAGACCAAAAGGUCAAAGUGACAGAUAGGAGUGUCCGACCGGGCUGAUAGCACCACCCCUGUACUCAGCAGGGCCUACCGCGUCGUUAGACACCCGACAUGGCAGGGUUGGGGGUCAUGACAUGUGACCGACCAUUUUUGGUCAUGUGACCGAAGUGUGCCGAGUUACCCAUUGACGGAUGCGUAAUCCAAC